GUGAAUCAUCGAAUUUUUGAACGCAAAUUGCGCCUUUUUCGGAAGGCCUGUCCGUUUGAGGGCACCAUUUAACAAAUAAUGUGCAGCGUUUUUUGCUGCACACGUUGAUGAGCUUUUCAAGUAUUUUAAAUUUUUGGUGGUGCAUAAUGAACAGCGUGAAUGUUUUUUUCAGUUCGCGUGUAGUAUAAUCUUUGCUUGGGUUGUGCUUAAACAUAAUCGCGGAAUGGGCGUGGUAUUUUAUUUUUCUCCCUUU
This 253-nucleotide unclassified non-coding RNA is filed under the name Paraglomerales sp. RNAcentral's name for it is "partial contains 5.8S ribosomal RNA and internal transcribed spacer 2". The record is from RNAcentral. Lineage: Eukaryota; Fungi; Glomeromycota; Glomeromycetes; Paraglomerales.